UACGUAGGUGGCAAGCGUUGUCCGGAUUUACUGGGCGUAAAGAGCGCGCAGGCGGUCGUUCAAGUCGCGUGUGAAAGCCCCCGGCUCAACUGGGGAGGGUCACGCGAUACUGAUCGACUCGAAGGCAGGAGAGGGUAGUGGAAUUCCCGGUGUAGUGGUGAAAUGCGUAGAUAUCGGGAGGAACACCAGUGGCGAAGGCGACUACCUGGGUAGAUACUGACGCUGAGGUGCGAAAGCGUGGGGAGCAAACAGG
Molecule: ribosomal RNA, 253 nt
Filed under: uncultured bacterium
Lineage: Bacteria
Description: partial 16S ribosomal RNA
Rfam family: Bacterial small subunit ribosomal RNA
Source: RNAcentral